This 241-nucleotide ribosomal RNA is filed under the name uncultured bacterium. Its description in RNAcentral is "partial 16S ribosomal RNA". It matches the Rfam family "Bacterial small subunit ribosomal RNA", at positions 113 to 354 of the family's 1533-position model. The record is from RNAcentral.
ACGCGGUAACGAACUCGCGUAUACGGGGGGAUAACACUUAGAAAUAGGUGCUAAUACCGCAUAAGCGCACAGCUUCGCAUGAAGCGGUGUGAAAAACUCUGGUGGUAUACGAUGGUUCCGCGUCUGAUUAGCUAGUUGGUGGGGUAAUGGCCUACCAAGGCAACGAUCAGUAGCCGGCCUGAGAGGGUGAACGGCCACAUUGGGACUGAGACACGGCCCAAACUCCUACGGAAGGCAGCAG